UACGAAGGGGGCUAGCGUUGCUCGGAAUCACUGGGCGUUAAGGGUGCGUAGGCGGGUCUUUAAGUCAGGGGUGAAAUCCUGGAGCUCAACUCCAGAACUGCCUUUGAUACUGAAGAUCUUGAGUUCGGGAGAGGUGAGUGGAACUGCGAGUGUAGAGGUGAAAUUCGUAGAUAUUCGCAAGAACACCAGUGGCGAAGGCGGCUCACUGGCCCGAUACUGACGCUGAGGCACGAAAGCGUGGGGAGCAAACAGG
RNAcentral lists this ribosomal RNA (253 nucleotides) under uncultured bacterium. RNAcentral's name for it is "partial 16S ribosomal RNA". It matches the Rfam family "Bacterial small subunit ribosomal RNA", at positions 524 to 776 of the family's 1533-position model. The record is from RNAcentral.